AGCUGUAUUGCAAAUAUAGGAUCGAUUUUUUAAAUUGUGUGGAUAAAGAAUAGCAAAUAUAUGUUCAUGCUAAAUUUAUGAUCACACUUCCGUUAAACAAAUACACAAAAUUUCAAAGCCAUUACUAAUCCACGGAAAGAGUAAAAACAAAUGUAUUUAUAACUGAAUAGGGCAAGGUUGAAAGGAAGCCAGAAAUUUCUCAAAAUAACUAGUACUAAAUUCAAGAAAGGAACUCACAUGGUAUAUCUCCAAAUGCGCUGGAAAAGUAGACAAUUUCUUCUUGCCAGGCCGAACAGUUUUUACAACACGAUCACAUCAGACUAAAAGGUUCUUUUUAAGCAGAAUGUUGCCAAUAUCUUCUGGUUCCAAACUUCUAUCAAACUCGAGUAUGUCUAGACUAAAAGGUUCUUUUUAAGCAGAACGUUGGCAAUAUCUUCUGGUUCCAAACUUCUAUCAAACUCGAGUAUGUCUUUCAGUUCUAAAUGAUUUCACAAAACUAACAAAAUCUUUUCCUCUGAAAUACUCUACCCGUGUUUCCUGUA
RNAcentral lists this long non-coding RNA (542 nucleotides) under Nicotiana benthamiana. Its description in RNAcentral is "long non-coding RNA (NBEN_LNC038008)". Lineage: Eukaryota; Viridiplantae; Streptophyta; Magnoliopsida; Solanales; Solanaceae. The record is from RNAcentral.